ACCCUUUGGUUCAUGAGCGUGGUGACUCGGUGCUCGUGUCUUGCGCAUGAGAUGUGCCUCCUUGAAGCCCUGUCACGACACGCGCACAUUACCCGUCUGACG
This is a small nucleolar RNA of Octodon degus (degu), 102 nucleotides long. RefSeq annotates it as small nucleolar RNA U13. The transcript has a single exon. The record is from RefSeq and is a predicted model, not a curated record. NCBI's taxonomy places the organism in Eukaryota, Metazoa, Chordata, Mammalia, Rodentia, Octodontidae.